UACGGAGGGUGCAAGCGUUGUUCGGAAUCAUUGGGCGUAAAGCGCGUGUAGGCGGUCACUUAAGUCUGGUGUGAAAUCCCGGGGCUCAACCCCGGAAGUGCAUUGGAUACUGGGUGGCUAGAGGACGAGAGAGGGAAGCGGAAUUCCUGGUGUAGGGGUGAAAUCCGUAGAUAUCAGGAGGAACAUCGGUGGCGAAGGCGGCUUCCUGGCUCGUACCUGACGCUGAGACGCGAAAGCGUGGGUAGCAAAC
This 250-nucleotide ribosomal RNA is filed under the name uncultured bacterium. RNAcentral describes it as "partial 16S ribosomal RNA". It matches the Rfam family "Bacterial small subunit ribosomal RNA", at positions 524 to 773 of the family's 1533-position model. The record is from RNAcentral.